GCCGAAGUGGCGGAACCGGUAGACGCGCUGGUCUCAAAAACCAGUGAGGGUAACCUCGUGAGGGUCCGAGUCCCUCCUUCGGCACCA
This 87-nucleotide transfer RNA is filed under the name Armatimonadota bacterium. RNAcentral's name for it is "tRNA-Leu". It matches the Rfam family "tRNA". From Rfam's summary of the family: Transfer RNA (tRNA) molecules are approximately 80 nucleotides in length. Their secondary structure includes four short double-helical elements and three loops (D, anti-codon, and T loops). Lineage: Bacteria; Bacillati; Armatimonadota. The record is from RNAcentral.